GGACUUGCAGCUCAAAUGGUAGAGCGCCUGAUUCUGACUCAGGUUGUCGCAGGUUCGAAGCCUGCUACCG
Molecule: transfer RNA, 70 nt
Filed under: Butyrivibrio fibrisolvens
Lineage: Bacteria; Bacillati; Bacillota; Clostridia; Lachnospirales; Lachnospiraceae
Description: tRNA_Gln_CTG
Rfam family: tRNA (bases 9-65)
About the family: Transfer RNA (tRNA) molecules are approximately 80 nucleotides in length. Their secondary structure includes four short double-helical elements and three loops (D, anti-codon, and T loops).
Source: RNAcentral